AGAGAUCCGUAUGGGCUUAUAGUUUAAUUGGUUGAAACGUACCGCUCACAACGGUGAUAUUGUAGGUUCGAGCCCUACUAAGCCUAC
This 87-nucleotide transfer RNA is filed under the name Helianthus annuus (common sunflower). RNAcentral's name for it is "tRNA-Val". The stretch from base 13 to 86 matches the Rfam family "tRNA". Rfam says of the family: Transfer RNA (tRNA) molecules are approximately 80 nucleotides in length. The record is from RNAcentral. Lineage: Eukaryota; Viridiplantae; Streptophyta; Magnoliopsida; Asterales; Asteraceae.